UACGUAGGGGGCAAGCGUUGUCCGGAAUUACUGGGCGUAAAGCGUGCGCAGGCGGCUUUGCAAGACAGAUGUGAAAUCCCCGGGCUCAACCUGGGAAUUGCGCUUGUGACUGCAAAGCUGGAGUGCGGCAGAGGGGGAUGGAAUUCCGCGUGUAGCAGUGAAAUGCGUAGAUAUGCGGAGGAACACCGAUGGCGAAGGCAAUCCCCUGGGCCUGCACUGACGCUCAUGCACGAAAGCGUGGGGAGCAAACAGG
RNAcentral lists this ribosomal RNA (253 nucleotides) under uncultured bacterium. RNAcentral describes it as "partial 16S ribosomal RNA". It matches the Rfam family "Bacterial small subunit ribosomal RNA", at positions 524 to 776 of the family's 1533-position model. The record is from RNAcentral.